CCUACGGGCGGCAGCAGUGGGGAAUAUUGGACAAUGGGGGCAACCCUGAUCCAGCCAUGCCGCGUGUGUGAAGGAGGCCCUCGGGUUGUAAAGCACUUUCAGUGAGGAAGAACGCCUGGUGGUUAAUACCCAUCAGGAAAGACAUCACUCACAGAAGAAGCACCGGCUAACUCCGUGCUAGCAGCCGCGGUAAUACGGAGGGUGCGAGCGUUAAUCGGAAUUACUGGGCGUAAAGCGCGCGUAGGUGGCUUGAUAAGCCGGUUGUGAAAGCCCCGGGCUCAACCUGGGAACGGCAUCCGGAACUGUCAAGCUAGAGUGCAGGAGAGGAAGGUAGAAUUCCCGGUGUAGCGGUGAAAUGCGUAGAGAUCGGGAGGAAUACCAGUGGCGAAGGCGGCCUUCUGGACUGACACUGACACUGAGGUGCGAAAGCGUGGGUAGCAAACAGGAUUAGAUACCCCAGUAGUC
RNAcentral lists this ribosomal RNA (465 nucleotides) under Vreelandella stevensii. RNAcentral describes it as "partial 16S ribosomal RNA". It matches the Rfam family "Bacterial small subunit ribosomal RNA", at positions 338 to 795 of the family's 1533-position model. The record is from RNAcentral. Lineage: Bacteria; Pseudomonadati; Pseudomonadota; Gammaproteobacteria; Oceanospirillales; Halomonadaceae.